GAACGAACGCUGGCGGCAUGCCUAACACAUGCAAGUCGAACGAGACCUUCGGGUCUCGUGGCGCACGGGUGCGUAACGCGUGGGAACCUGCCCUUAGGUUCGGAAUAACUCCCCGAAAGGGGUGCUAAUACCGGAUAAUGUCUUCGGACCAAAGAUUUAUCGCCUUUGGAUGGGCCCGCGUUGGAUUAGCUAGUUGGUAGGGUAAAAGCCUACCAAGGCGACGAUCCAUAGCUGGUCUGAGAGGAUGAUCAGCCACACUGGGACUGAGACACGGCCCAGACUCCUACGGGAGGCAGCAGUGGGGAAUAUUGGACAAUGGGCGAAAGCCUGAUCCAGCAAAGCCGCGUGAGUGAUGAAGGCCUUAGGGUUGUAAAGCUCUUUUACCCGGGAUGAUAAUGACAGUACCGGGAGAAUAAGCUCCGGCUAACUCCGUG
RNAcentral lists this ribosomal RNA (434 nucleotides) under uncultured bacterium. RNAcentral describes it as "partial 16S ribosomal RNA". It matches the Rfam family "Bacterial small subunit ribosomal RNA", at positions 27 to 507 of the family's 1533-position model. The record is from RNAcentral.